GACUAUUGAGUUGGAAGCCAAGCGUAGGAAGGCUGCACAGUCUCGGACCCCGACGUCUGACCCCAAUUUGUGGCAGCAAAUUCGCGAGAAUUACGAAGCUAUCGUUCUCGAAGAUCAUGCUUUCUCUGAGCAGCACACCAUUGAGUUUACACUGUGGCAGUUGCAUUACAAACGGAUUGAAGAGUACAGAUCAAACAUCAAUGCUGUCUUGGCUUCUGGUAGCUCCGGUGCGGCUCAGAAUGCAAAGGGUCCUUCUAUAUCCGAACGAGUCGCGAGGGUCAAGCUGAGGUUCAGAACUUUUCUUUCGGAAGCAACUGGGUUUUACCAUGAGAUGAUAUUGAAAAUUAGAUCGAACUAUGGUCUUCCCCUGGGUUACUUUUCCGAUGAUCAAGAGAGUCAAAAUUUGGCUGAUAAGGAUGGGAAGAAGCUGGCUCAAGUUAAGAAAGGCUUGGUGUCUUGUCACCGUUGCUUAAUAUACCUUGGUGAUCUUGCUCGGGGUAGAUUUCAACUCUAUUAAAUCGAAUUUUUUUUUGUUAUUCGUCAUUAUCUCUGGUUGAUCACUUGUACAAUCGAAUGUUCUCUGUAAAGGGUCUUGUUUUCUCUGUUCAAGGUUUUGACUUGAACUUGUUUUCUUCUUGUGUUAACACUGAUCGAAACUGCUUACGGAACUCUGAUUAAUAUCAUCUAUUGGCUCUUUAGAUGAUUGCUUUUGUUUAAGCUUCUUAUAUAUGUUUUUUUUUGUUAUAGAUAAUGACACCAGCAUAGCUUUAGCCUGAGAUUUUUAUUUAUUUAUUUCAGGUCGUUGACAAUUUUGAGACUUUGCAGAUGGAUAAAAAGACUGCUUCCUCGCCAUGGGAGCGAGCCCAAUCCAUAUUCGAUAAGGUUUCCUUCUCUUUCUUACUUUGACAACUCUGUGAAUUUACCUUUAUUAUUGUUUUUGGAGUAGUUUUUUUUACAAUGGAAGCUGUAUCAGUUCGUCUUUAGCUCAUCGUAGGGUUAUAAAGGCCGUUUUGUCUCUGUACUUGAGGCUAUGGUUUUGUAGACCUCUUUAUAGUGACAAUAUAUGCAUUCUUUGCAGACUAUUGAGUUGGAAGCCAAGCGUAGGAAGGCUGCACAGUCUCGGACCCCGACGUCUGACCCCAAUUUGUGGCAGCAAAUUCGCGAGAAUUACGAAGCUAUCGUUCUCGAAGAUCAUGCUUUCUCUGAGCAGCACACCAUUGAGUUUACACUGUGGCAGUUGCAUUACAAACGGAUUGAAGAGUACAGAUCAAACAUCAAUGCUGUCUUGGCUUCUGGUAGCUCCGGUGCGGCUCAGAAUGCAAAGGGUCCUUCUAUAUCCGAACGAGUCGCGAGGGUCAAGCUGAGGUUCAGAACUUUUCUUUCGGAAGCAACUGGGUUUUACCAUGAGAUGAUAUUGAAAAUUAGAUCGAACUAUGGUCUUCCCCUGGGUUACUUUUCCGAUGAUCAAGAGAGUCAAAAUUUGGCUGAUAAGGAUGGGAAGAAGCUGGCUCAAGUUAAGAAAGGCUUGGUGUCUUGUCACCGUUGCUUAAUAUACCUUGGUGAUCUUGCUCGGUACAAAGGAUUGUAUGGAGAGGGAGGAGAUUCCAAGAACCGAGAGUAUGCUGCUGCUUCGGGUUACUAUUUGCAAGCAGCUUCUCUGUUGCCAGCCAGUGGAAACC
Molecule: long non-coding RNA, 1679 nt
Filed under: Brassica napus (rape)
Lineage: Eukaryota; Viridiplantae; Streptophyta; Magnoliopsida; Brassicales; Brassicaceae
Description: long non-coding RNA (BNAP_LNC001116)
Source: RNAcentral